AUGAAAUUAAAAUUAUUAAAUAUAAUUUUAUCAAUAAUAAAUAAACUUAAUAAUAAUAAUAAUAUUAUUAUUAAUAAUCUAUUAGAUUCAUUAAUAAAUAAGAAAUUAUUAUUAAAGAAUAUAUUAUUAGAUAUAAAUAAUAAAAAAAUAAAUAAUAUAAAAAGAAUAUUAAAUAAUAAUAAUAUAAAUAUUAAUAAUAAAUUACAACAUUUAAAUAAUAUAAAUAAUUGAAAUCUACAAAUUUAUAAUUAUAAUAAAAAUAUAGAAAUUAUAAAUACUAUAAAUGAUAAAUUAAUUAAUAAAUUAUUAUAUAAAAUAAUAACUUUAAAAUUAAAUAAUAUAAAUAUUAAUAAAAUUAUUAUAAGUAAACUUAUUAAUCAACAUAGUUUAAAUAAAUUAAAUAUUAAAUUUUAUUAUUAUAAUAAUGAUAUUAAUAAUAAUAAUAAUAAUAAUAAUAAUAAUAAUAAUUAUUAUAUAAAUAUAAUAAAUAAAUUAAUAAAUAUUAUAAAUAAUAAUAUAAAUAAUAAUUUAUGUAAUAUUUUAAGUUAUUAUUAUAAUAAAAAAGUAACUAUUGAACCUAUUAAAUUAUCAUAUAUUUAUUUAAAUAGUGAUAUUUUUAGUAAAUAUAUUAGUUUAAAUGAUAUAGAUAAAUAUAAUAAUGGUAUCUUAACUAAUUAUCAACGUAUAUUAAAUAAUAUUAUGCCUAAAUUAAAUGAUCAUAAUAUUUCUAUAAAUUAUAUUAAUAAUAUUAAUAAUAUUAAUAAUAAUAAAUAUAAUAAUAUAAUUAAUUUAUUAAAUAAUAAUAAUAAUAAUAAUAAUAAUAAUAAUAUUAAUAAUAAUAAUAAUUAUAAUAAUUAUAAUAAUAAUUAUAUUGGUAAUAUUAAUAAUAUUUAUAAUAAUAUAACUAUUGAUAAUAUUCCUAUAGAUAUUUUAAUAUAUAAAUAUUUAGUUGGUUGAUCUAUUAAAUUUAAAGGUAGAUUAAGUAAUAAUAAUGGUAGAACUAGUACACUUAAUUUAUUAAAUGGUACUUUUAAUAAUAAAAAAUAUUUAUGAAGUAAUAUUAAUAAUAAUUAUAAAUUAAAUUAUAUCCCUUCUAAUCAUAAUUUAUAUAAUAAUUCUAAUAUUAAUAAAAAUGGUAAAUAUAAUAUUAAAGUUAAAUUAAACUUUAUUUAA
RNAcentral lists this ribosomal RNA (1173 nucleotides) under Saccharomyces cerevisiae (brewer's yeast). The record is from RNAcentral. Lineage: Eukaryota; Fungi; Ascomycota; Saccharomycetes; Saccharomycetales; Saccharomycetaceae.